RNAcentral lists this ribosomal RNA (596 nucleotides) under uncultured bacterium. RNAcentral describes it as "bacterial SSU rRNA". It matches the Rfam family "Bacterial small subunit ribosomal RNA", at positions 362 to 974 of the family's 1533-position model. The record is from RNAcentral.
UAUUGGGCAAUGGGGGCAACCCUGACCCAGCGACGCCGCGUGGGGGAAGACGGCCUUCGGGUUGUAAACCUCUUUUGUACGGGAAGAAGGAAGUGACGGUACUGUACGAAUAAGUCCCGGCUAACUACGUGCCAGCAGCCGCGGUAAUACGUAGGGGACGAGCGUUGUCCGGAAUUACUGGGCGUAAAGGGCGCGCAGGCUGUGCUGCGAGUCAGCUGUUAAAUGUCUGGGCUUAACCCGGGCAUGCGGUUGAGACUGCGGUGCUGGAGUGCNGUAGAGGCAAGUGGAAUUCCCAGUGUAGCGGUGAAAUGCGUAGAUAUUGGGAAGAACACCGGUGGCGAAGGCGACUUGCUGGGCAGCAACUGACGCUGAGGCGCGAAAGCCAGGGGAGCAAACGGGAUUAGAUACCCCGGUAGUCCUGGCCGUAAACGAUGAAUGCUAGGUGUGGGUGUAGAGAUACAUUCGUGCCGGAGUUAACGCGAUAAGCAUUCCGCCUGGGGAGUACGGUCGCAAGAUUGAAACUCAAAGGAAUUGACGGGGGCCCGCACAAGCGGUGGAGCACGUGGUUUAAUUCGAUGCAAACCGAAGAACCUUAC